GCCGGGGUAGCCUAGCCUGGAAUGGGCGCCAGACUCAUAACCCAGAGGUCGCGGGCUCGAAUCCCGCCCCCGGCACCA
RNAcentral lists this transfer RNA (78 nucleotides) under Candidatus Bathyarchaeota archaeon. Its description in RNAcentral is "tRNA-Met". It matches the Rfam family "tRNA". Rfam says of the family: Transfer RNA (tRNA) molecules are approximately 80 nucleotides in length. The record is from RNAcentral. Lineage: Archaea; Thermoproteati; Candidatus Bathyarchaeota.